AAGCUUACCAGAGUGCCAUCGAGUUCCUUCCCCUAAGGAUCAGACUUCCAGACUCAAGUGUCAUUUGACCUGGUAUCCAGCUUAAUACAGCCUCUGCUUUUGAAUAGAUUUCCUUACAAGUGGCAAUCUCUAAUAGGGUCAUGUCGAGAGGCAACCCGACUGCAUACUACCUACUGCACGUUAACGUGAUGAAGGUCUCUCCUGAGCACACGGCUUCAUAAACCAGCUGCACAAGCAACUGCAUCUGGGGAUCUGCUUCAAGAGAAACUUAACUAAAGCAAGAAUGGGCUCUAACUUCAGGAUACCUAGGAUUCUAACCUCGUUCCAUUACUUACCAACGAUAUGACCUGGGAAAAAUUAUAUACCUGCUGUAAGCCUCAAUGUCCUCAUUUGAAAUACACACAUAAUAGUAGGAUCUCUCUUACAAGGUUGCUGAAAAUAUAAACAGUGGUUAUCAAUGGAAAAAGCUUCUCUCAGUGCUUGGCAAAUAGGAAGCACUUAAUAAGUGUUUUCCGGUAUUUUUAUGAUUAUCAUCAUUACUAUAAUUCCCAAGGCACCCAAAACCCAUGCUAGUCCUCUGGAGACAUGAUUUCUCCAGCUCAAUUCAACUAGGCUGCUGGCUGCUGAGAAUAAUAGAAGAGCUGCAUUUUUAGAGACGGCAGCCAGGAGCUUGUGAUAGAAUGGGGAGAAACAGAAUUCGAAUGAGCAGAAUCAGGAAGUCUGGAUAUUUCUGGAUGUUUUCUGCUCAUUCAAAUAAAUUUUGUAGACGUUUACAGAGUUCCAUGUGCCAGGAACUGUGGUAGGUUCUAGAUAUCCAAGAGGAAAUGUAUUUUAUUCUUUGCAAGGGGGGUUCAUUUUGUGAUGUAAUAGUAACUCCCUCAAGUAUUGGAUACAUAAAAGUAUAAAUGCUGGUUGUUAAAUUAUGACACACUGGAAAUUCUCAGGUAAGUUUCUAGGAAGUGAAAUAAAUAGGCUUGGGGAUACAUCUAGUUGUAAUAUAAUUAAGUUAGUUAUAUAAGCUUUUAAUGGAUUAUAUUUUUGUAAGUACCAAUACUUGUAAAAUUUUUGCUUUUAGCAAAUUAGGUACCAUUUGAAUACACUGGCUGAUGCUUAAUAAGAAUUAGAACUACAUUUUGCUUGUUGUGUAAGUAAAUAUCACGUUACAUGCUUGUUUAAUGUUUGUGAAAACCAUUCCAAACAAUCUCUUUAGAAUAAGAGUCUAAUUACACAUUUAUCAUUAAAAUUACAGUGAGCUAAUUGCCUUGGAGAUAUCUUUAUCUCUCUUACAGCUUGCUUAAUCCUAAUGCAUGUUUUAAAUAAUCAUUUGUUAUUUAAUUAACUAAUUAACAAACAAUAACUGUCCUAUGGAAAAUCCUAAAUUAAACACUUGAGACUUUUUAAUUGAAUGCUCAAUAACCCAAUAUGGCACUUAAUAUUAGACCUUUUAAAUAUUGCAAAGAUUCUAUUGAAUCACAUAUUAGUUUGCUCCUGUUAUCUUUGGGGCUUAAUUGGUAGAAACAUAAACGGGCAGUUGAUAAUACACAAGGGGUAGCCAGCAAAGCAAGGCUCUCAUGAAAUAGAAAAUAUCCAUUAAUGGCUGCCAAGCAGCAAAGUGGGCCAGCCAUACUGGCCAGCAACAAAGGCAGGCCAUUCAUUUAGGAUACUCAUGUCCUUGCCCCAUGACAUUAAAAAGCACAGUUUUAAAGAUAAACACAAAUAGGCCCAAAAGUCCAUAGUCUGUGACGCAAAGCUGCUUUGAGCACACCUGGAGGAUGGUAUUUCCUCCUAUGGUAAUAGCAGUGGUAGAUGGACUCAAGAGUAUUCCUUUGUAUCAUAUCCCCCCAGAAUGAUUGUUUUCCAAGUCUCCAGUCUAGCCCCCUCCAUUUCAACUUUGAAAAUGCUGCUAGAAAGAAUUUCCUAAAAAGCGGAUCUAAUUAUCAACUUCUUGUUAUCACUUUCCCGUCACUUUCCAAGGGUUGCUUUCUAACCUCUUUGGUGUUUGCAGCUUACCAUAUUCUGAGCCCUGGUUUCCUAAUGAUUUCCUGACAUCUCCAGCCAUUUCUCCCUGUACCUUUUAUUCCAUUAGUGUCAUUACCUUAAGUUUUCAUGCUCAUCUAUUUUGUAUAUUACGUGCUCCUCUCUCUGGCUGUCCUACUUUUUUUUCAUGGGUAUAUUCUUCAAAGAAUUCUCUGCUCUUGAAACCAGGAGUCAGACGUACCGCCAUCUUUUUCUAUGUUUCCUUAAUUAUCUCCAUUAUAUAGUAUGUACUAAAUUGUAUUAUAAUUUUUUAUAUGUCUAUCUCCCAGUUUAGACUAUGGAUAUUAGAAUUUACUUUCUCCUAUCUUCAGUUUUUACAUAUGUAAAGUGGGUGGAAUAAUUGUACUUCACUGAUAAGAUUAUUGAGACUUAUAUGGCAUACUGCAUAUAAAAUGCCAAUAACAAUGCCUGACAUAUGGUAAAUUCUAAAUCAUUGUGAGUUUACUUUAAUGUUCUUACGUAUUCUAUUUAAUAUUGUAUUUCUUGUGUCCAAUACAGUUUAUGGCCAUUGUAUACAUAUGCACUAAGUAAAUGUUACUAAAUGGCUGGCUGCAUGAGUGACUGCAUGAAUAAAUAACUGUAUGAAUAGCUUGAAGCAGAAAGAGAAAGUCUUCAGGGUAAUAUGGAAGUUUUUAUGUAUUUAUAAAAUUAUGUCCUGUAGCAAAGGGAUCAGAAUGUUUCCAUGAGACUGUAGAGGGAGAUCCCUGACCAUAAAGUAAAUCAAUAGAGAAAAGGAGGUUGGUUCAAUAAAAUUUUCUAAAAAUUGGUAUAUAUUCAAAAUAGAGUGGGCUUUCUAUGAGUUUCCUUUAUUUUGUGUGUUCAAGCAGAGACUGAACAAUAAAAUUGUUGA
Molecule: long non-coding RNA, 2887 nt
Filed under: Homo sapiens (human)
Lineage: Eukaryota; Metazoa; Chordata; Mammalia; Primates; Hominidae
Description: HSALNT0150693
Source: RNAcentral